UGCCAGACUCCUACGGGAGGCAGCAGUGAGGAAUAUUGGUCAAUGGCCGGAAGGCUGAACCAGCCAAGCCGCGUGAAGGACGAAGGUGCCAAGCAUUGUAAACUUCUUUUGUCAAGGGACAAAAUCAGGCUCGAGAGCCUGACCGAGGGUACUUGAAGAAAAAGCAUCGGCUAACUCCGUGCCAGCAGCCGCGGUAAUACGGAGGGUGCGAGCGUUAAUCGGAAUUACUGGGCGUAAAGCGCUCGUAGGCGGUAUGUCAAGUCAAGGGUGAAAUCCCCGCGCUCAACGUGGGAACUGCCUUUGAAACUGGCAAACUGGAGUGUGUGAGAGGAUAGUGGAAUUCCAGGUGUAGGAGUGAAAUCCGUAGAUAUCUGGAGGAACAUCAGUGGCGAAGGCGACUAUCUGGCACAUAACUGACGCUGAGGAGCGAAAGCGUGGGUAGCAAGCAGGAUUAGAUACCCCUGUA
This 466-nucleotide ribosomal RNA is filed under the name uncultured bacterium. Its description in RNAcentral is "bacterial SSU rRNA". It matches the Rfam family "Bacterial small subunit ribosomal RNA", at positions 329 to 792 of the family's 1533-position model. The record is from RNAcentral.